RNAcentral lists this ribosomal RNA (500 nucleotides) under uncultured bacterium. Its description in RNAcentral is "bacterial SSU rRNA". It matches the Rfam family "Bacterial small subunit ribosomal RNA", at positions 8 to 518 of the family's 1533-position model. The record is from RNAcentral.
AGAGUUUGAUUAUGGCUCAGGAUGAACGCUGGCGGCGUGCUUAAUACAUGCAAGUCGAACGAAGAGUCUUGUAGCAAUACGGAGGCUUCUUAGUGGCGAACGGGUGCGUAACGCGUUGGUGACCUGCCCCGAAGUGUGGGAUAACAGUUCGAAAGGACUGCUAAUACCGCAUGUGGACACGAGGGUUAGAGGCUUUGUGUCUAAAGCAGUAAUGCGCUUCGGGAGGGACCUGCGUCCCAUCAGCUAGUUGGUGAGGUAACGGCCCACCAAGGCUACGACGGGUAGGGGACCUGAGAGGGUGGUCCCCCACACUGGCACUGAAACACGGGCCAGACACCUACGGGUGGCAGCAGUAGGGAAUAUUGGGCAAUGGGCGAAAGCCUGACCCAGCAACGCCGCGUGCAUGAUGAAGGUCUUCGGAUCGUAAAAUGCUUUUCUGAGAGAUGAGAAAGGACAGUAUCUCAGGAAUAAGUCUCGGCUAACUACGUGCCAGCAGCCGC